CCCUGCAGAAGUUCAGCCCUGAAGUCUCACGAAUGUUUUCCUGGAAACAGCAGCUUUGUCACACUGCAUUUUUGCUGACAGUAUUUCCUGUGGAAAGCCGCUCGAGGAAGAUCAGGUUAGAGAGCCUGAAUAUCCAUCAGCUACUUGUAGCUGAGAUAAUGAAAGCCGCCUUGUUACCAGCAUGCUUUGAAUUUUGAGUGCAUUCGUACACAUCGCCUUAUUAAACACAGCUCCUUGUUACCUGAAGUAUGAUCUCGCUCACGUUUCUGAAGCUCCCACCACCCAUCACUUGUGCUGCCCAGUUUGUGCCUCUCGCAGCACCUGAAGUCCCUUUAUCUUCUCUCUGUGCCUAAUUCUGGUAAUGACAUGUCACUGGCUGCCACAGGGGCUGCGGCCAGUGGUGCCUGGGACAAGAGCCACUGCUGGCUGAGAGACAAUGCUUUCAGUGAGAAAGGUGGAAUCAUCACUUUUCCAGCCUAUGACAGCAGGACAAUGACAGCCGUCACGAGGCAGUGGGGAGAGAUAAGCAUCCUUCCCUAAAGACUGAUGAGAGAGAAGAAGCGUGAGUAGGAGCAUAUUAAGUUAAUCUAACAGCUUGGCAUGGACUAGCUUCCCAUUUUCACAGAAGGAAAAAAAUACAGUGUAUAUGGUUUUCAAGAGUGACUGCUGUUUUGAUGAAGACAUGGAUAACUGCUUUUAUUCUGAAGUGUGGACUUCUGUACAGGUCCCCAGAGCAGGAAUUCAAGGGAAAAAGGAAGCUGGAUCAGUUAAUCAAAAGGAAAUAAAUCGUAUAACUCAAAAAUUUGUUAAAGGAGGAACUGAAAACUGGCUUGAGAAGAAUUCAACACAGAAGAAAAUUUUGGAUACAAUCAGGGAAGUAUCAGUGUUGGUUACAAGGCUGUCUUUUUCAACAGCAGCAGCAGCAACAGUUUCAAAACCAAAAUAGGGUAAGUUGCAAAUUCUUAUAAGUAACCAACUGUAGCUUCAACAUCACCCACCCUUUGAAUGCAAGGGCUUCUGGGGCACAGAAAGUAAAGGAGGAAUUCUAUCAAUGUUUUUUUACCUGUUUCUUCUGUGAGAAGUCAGAAUCUGUCCAGCUUUUUAAAUUAUAAGAACAAUUGCAGGUGAACAGGCCUUUAAAGGUCACUUCCAACUCUAAGGAUUCUAUGAUUCUAUGAUUUUAAUACUUCAUUCGUGUGAUCUACCUGUGCCAACGUGUACCAGAAACAGACUGUGGAUGCUAAAUCAAGAUCACUGCCUCUGGAUACAAAUUGUGACAUGAGAUGAAACUUGCUCUUUGAAAAUGUAUCCCUUAAAAUCAAUAUACAAUAGUAAUAUAUUUAUCGGUUACCACUUAUCUGUAUACCAAAUGCAACCAAGUAUUAAAUGUAAAUAAAAUAAAUCUCUUAAAAAUUGAUUUCCCA
This 1424-nucleotide long non-coding RNA is filed under the name Phasianus colchicus (ring-necked pheasant). Its description in RNAcentral is "lncRNA (ENSPCLG00000008745.1)". Lineage: Eukaryota; Metazoa; Chordata; Aves; Galliformes; Phasianidae. The record is from RNAcentral.